This is a long non-coding RNA of Rosa rugosa (rugosa rose), 1238 nucleotides long. RefSeq lists it as uncharacterized. The record is from RefSeq and is a predicted model, not a curated record. The transcript has 4 exons. Lineage: Eukaryota; Viridiplantae; Streptophyta; Magnoliopsida; Rosales; Rosaceae.
GCUUAAAACCAGAAAACACUUAACCAAAAUCUAAAGCCUCCUCCGAAUUCUCUCAUGUCUCCCUCUCUCUCUCAUCUCCUCCACCCACUGCCCCCUCCCCCACCCGAUCAUCAAUCAGACAUUCAGACUUCAGUUCCUUUCUUCCUCAAUCAUAAAUCCACUUUCGAUUUCGAUCCGAUUCUUCUGGGGCGAAGUGUCGAACUCCCUAUCUUGAAUCUGCCUCUUCUAGAAGCACCAUGUGCUCAAGGCCAAGGAUGAGAAGGCCCUCCUCGUCUGUGCGAAGCCAGUCGCCGUCUUUGGGCUCAGAAACCUGGAGGUGAUCCCAUGGUGUCGGCUGGUGUUGAUAUUGUCCACUGGAGUGUUGAUAUUGUCCACUACAAUUUUCUUUAAUUUGAUUGCAGUAUGACUCAGUGUAUGCAUGAAUUGAAUGGCUGAGCUUUUUUAGCUUGAUAUAGCUAAUACAAGGUUUAAUUCUAUCUUCAGUAUGGCUGAGCUUUGAUUGCAUCAGUAUGACUUGGUUUUCGAUAUGUCCUUGUGAUUUCAUUUCGGUGACGGCGCUGGGUUUGGGCGACAGGGUUUAUGCUAAGAUUUCUAGGGUGGAGAUGGAGGAGCGUCCGCAGAGAUUGGAUGGAAUAGGACAAUCCCAAUCUGGAGGUCUCAUUUUGGAACCUAUUGAUGUUCUACUGCAAAGACGGGAGCAAAAGGCAUUUACAAGGGUAUGGUUCGUUCUGCAACAAUUAUUUCCUGCGGAGGCUAGCAAUGAUUGGAAGGGGCCAAUAUGAUGCUGCCUAUGAUAUAGGUCAGUUAACUAUAUUUUUUCAGAAACAUAUAUUUACCCUGAAGACUGCAUUUUGUACUUCAGGUGAUACAAAAUUUUGGAUUGAGAUCUUGUGGGUCAGUCUCAGAAACUAAAUAGGCAAUAUCUUGUUGUAUUUCUGGUUAUGUUCAAAGUUUAGUAAUGUGUGUUGGAGUUGGUUUGUUUCUUUAGAAAGUGAAACUCAUGUGUGGAUUCAAAUGACUCUUGCUUGACAGGGAACUUGAUGUAUGCUCAUUCUUGGACAAGGAUUAUGUUGUAAUCUUAGUGAUAUUCCACCUUGAACAACAAUGUAUACUAGGAAUGUAAAGAACAUCUUACUAUGAAUGUAAAGUUUAUUCAUGUUCGAUUGAGUUGUGGAUUUGUUCAUUUGAUUGUAAAUAUUUGAAGUGAAUUUAUUGUACAGAAAUCAAAACUAUUAUUA